RNAcentral lists this ribosomal RNA (1251 nucleotides) under metagenome. RNAcentral describes it as "SSU rRNA". It matches the Rfam family "Eukaryotic small subunit ribosomal RNA", at positions 478 to 1759 of the family's 1831-position model. The record is from RNAcentral.
UAACGGGGCGGUCCUCUAUGGGGCCCGUCAUUGUAUUGAGUAAAACUCAAAAUAUUUAACGAAACCAAUUGGAGGGCAAGUCUGGUGCCAGCAGCCGCGGUAAUUCCAGCUCCAAAAGCAUAUAUUAAAGUUGUUGCGGUUAAAAAGCUCGUAGUUGGAUCCAUGACCUCGGAGGGCGGUCCCCCACUGGGUGCGUACUGCUGCUCCGAGUCCUAUCUGUCAGUUUGUCUGUGUUGCCUUUAAUCGGGUGGCACAGGUGACUGACGUGUUUACUUUGAAAAAAAUUAGAGUGUUUAAAGCAGGCGUUGAAUGCCUGAAUAGUGGUGCAUGGAAUAAUGGAAUAGGAUCUCGGUUCUAUUUUGUUGGUUCAAGAGCAUGAGAAAAUGAUUAAGGGACAGACGGGGGCAUUUGUAUUGCUGCGUUAGAGGUGAAAUUCUUGGAUCGUAGCAAGACAAACUACUGCGAAGGCAUUUGCCAAGAAUGUUUUCAUUAAUCAAGAACGAAAGUUAGAGGUUCGAAGGCGAUCAGAUACCGCCCUAGUUCUAACCGUAAACCAUGUCGACUAGCUAUCUGUCAGCGUUAAUAAUGACCUGACAGGCAGCUUACCGGAAACGAAAGUUUCUCGAUUCCGGGGGUAGUAUGGUUGCAAAGCUGAAACUUAAAGGAAUUGACGGAAGGGCACCACCAGGAGUGGAGCCUGCGGCUUAAUUUGACCCAACACGGGAAAACUCACCCGGCCCGGACACCGUAAGGAUUGACAGAUUAAUAGCUCUUUCUCGAUUUGGUGAUUGGUGGUGCAUGGCCGUUCUUAGUUGGUGGAGCGAUUUGUCUGGUUAAUUCCGAUAACGAACGAGAUUCUAACUUACUAACUAGUUCCACGAUCCUUGUGGUCCUAAAUACUUCUUAGAGGGAAAACCGGCAUUUAGUCGAACGAGAUUGAGCAAUAACAGGUCUGUGAUGCCCUUAGAUGUCCGGGGCUGCACGCGUGCUACACUGAAGGAAUCAGCGUGUUUUUCCCUUGCCUGUAAUGGCUGGGUAACCGACUGAAUCUCCUUCGUGUUAGGGAUAGAUCAUUGAAACUAGUGAUCUUCAAUUUGGAAUUCCUGGUACGUUUGAGUCAUAAGCUCAAGCAGAUUACGUCCCUGCCCUUUGUACACACCGCCCGUCGCUACUACCGACUGGCAAUAUCUUUGAGACACUUGGAGCGGCCGUGAGCUACCCUAACCGGUAACUCACGGCUGCGAAAAGGUU